RNAcentral lists this transfer RNA (71 nucleotides) under Ovis aries (sheep). It matches the Rfam family "tRNA". From Rfam's summary of the family: Transfer RNA (tRNA) molecules are approximately 80 nucleotides in length. Lineage: Eukaryota; Metazoa; Chordata; Mammalia; Artiodactyla; Bovidae. The record is from Rfam by way of RNAcentral.
UCCCUGGAGGUCUAGUGGUAAGACUCUGCAGUCCAGUGCAGGGGGCGCAGGUUCAAUCCCUGGUCAGGGGA